CUGGCAGCCAAAGUCAGCAAAAUAUUUAUUCAAAUAGCGUGCGCGUCUCCGGCUCCCUAAAGCUGCAGGUUGAAAUGGUCAGAGGCGGGACCCCAGAACCCUGAACCCCGAUCUCAGAACCCAUAGCCCACGAAUGCGCUACGUGAUAAGCCUGUUCGUUUCCAUGGAAUUCCUGCUGACUAAUAUGGUGAGGACCUCAAGCUAAUUUUCAUUUGGGUGCCCAGGCCAGAAGUCAAAUAAAUGGCGCACAAUGGGCCUCAUACAGAUAAUGGAAAAGGUAUCUUUCAGGUUAUGUAAUAUGUAUAAGUUUUAUUAAAUAUUUUAUGCUUGGAUUCUAAUAUAAAGAUACAGAGUAAGAUAUAUUUUCCAUCAUUUGUUUACACUUGAGAAUAUAUCAGCAACUUUCCCUCCCA
Drosophila ananassae is the source of this 413-nucleotide long non-coding RNA. RefSeq lists it as uncharacterized. Lineage: Eukaryota; Metazoa; Arthropoda; Insecta; Diptera; Drosophilidae. The transcript has 3 exons. The record is from RefSeq and is a predicted model, not a curated record.